UUGUCUUGCUACAUGCUGAACCUGCAGUCGAACGAUGGUAGCCCAGCUUGCUGGGCGGAUUAGUGGCGAACGGGUGAGUAACACGUGAGUAACCUGCCCUUGACUUCGGGAUAACUCCGGGAAACCGGGGCUAAUACCGGAUAUGAGCCGCCUUCGCAUGGGGGUGGUUGGAAAGUUUUUCGGUCAGGGAUGGGCUCGCGGCCUAUCAGCUUGUUGGUGGGGUGAUGGCCUACCAAGGCGACGACGGGUAGCCGGCCUGAGAGGGCGACCGGCCACACUGGGACUGAGACACGGCCCAGACUCCUACGGGAGGCAGCAGUGGGGAAUAUUGCACAAUGGGCGAAAGCCUGAUGCAGCGACGCCGCGUGAGGGAUGAAGGCCUUCGGGUUGUAAACCUCUUUCAGCAGGGAAGAAGCGCAAGUGACGGUACCUGCAGAAGAAGCGCCGGCUAACUACGUGCCAGCAGCCGCGGUAAUACGUAGGGCGCAAGCGUUGUCCGGAAUUAUUGGGCGUAAAGAGCUCGUAGGCGGUUUGUCGCGUCUGGUGUGAAAACUCGAGGCUCAACCUCGAGCUUGCAUCGGGUACGGGCAGACUAGAGUGCGGUAGGGGAGACUGGAAUUCCUGGUGUAGCGGUGGAAUGCGCAGAUAUCAGGAGGAACACCGAUGGCGAAGGCAGGUCUCUGGGCCGCAACUGACGCUGAGGAGCGAAAGCAUGGGGAGCGAACAGGAUUAGAUACCCUGGUAGUCCAUGCCGUAAACGUUGGGCACUAGGUGUGGGGCUCAUUCCACGAGUUCCGUGCCGCAGCAAACGCAUUAAGUGCCCCGCCUGGGGAGUACGGCCGCAAGGCUAAAACUCAAAGGAAUUGACGGGGGCCCGCACAAGCGGCGGAGCAUGCGGAUUAAUUCGAUGCAACGCGAAGAACCUUACCAAGGCUUGACAUGCACGAGAAGCCACCAGAGAUGGUGGUCUCUUUGGACACUCGUGCACAGGUGGUGCAUGGUUGUCGUCAGCUCGUGUCGUGAGAUGUUGGGUUAAGUCCCGCACGAGCGCACCCUCGUCCCAUGUUGCCAGCGGUUAUGCGGGACUCAUGGGAGACUGCCGGGUCACUCGAGAGUGGGAUGACGUCAAAUCAUCAUGCCCUAUUGUUCUUGGCUCACGCAUGCUUACAUGGCGGUUACAAGCUGCAAUCGUAGUGACGAUUCCAAAAGCCGGAUCUUCAGUUCCGGAAUUG
This 1232-nucleotide ribosomal RNA is filed under the name Cellulosimicrobium cellulans. RNAcentral describes it as "bacterial SSU rRNA". It matches the Rfam family "Bacterial small subunit ribosomal RNA", at positions 33 to 1301 of the family's 1533-position model. The record is from RNAcentral. Lineage: Bacteria; Bacillati; Actinomycetota; Actinomycetes; Micrococcales; Promicromonosporaceae.